Molecule: long non-coding RNA, 169 nt
Organism: Syngnathoides biaculeatus (alligator pipefish)
Lineage: Eukaryota; Metazoa; Chordata; Actinopteri; Syngnathiformes; Syngnathidae
Exons: 3
Source: RefSeq, a predicted model, not a curated record
GCCUUGCGUUAGUGAGUUGCAUUCGCUGCCUGUGGGACUCUUUGCUUCGACGCCCCUGCGUUUCUGUUCCUCUGCCUUGUCGGACUGCUCCACCGUGUAUGACCCAGUUUCCGAUUUGCUCACCAGUGUCGCGGUCUUCGGCUCGCAUCUUCCUCAGGAUGGACCGCAG